GCCGGGUGUGGUGGCUCACACCUGUAAUCCAAGUACUUUGGAGGCCAAGGUGGGUGGAUCACCUGAGGUCAGGAGUUCAAGACUACCCUGACCAACAUGGUGAAACCUCGUCUUUA
Unclassified non-coding RNA from Callithrix jacchus (white-tufted-ear marmoset), 116 nucleotides. It matches the Rfam family "Metazoan signal recognition particle RNA". Rfam says of the family: The signal recognition particle (SRP) is a universally conserved ribonucleoprotein. It is involved in the co-translational targeting of proteins to membranes. The eukaryotic SRP consists of a 300-nucleotide 7S RNA and six proteins: SRPs 72, 68, 54, 19, 14, and 9. NCBI's taxonomy places the organism in Eukaryota, Metazoa, Chordata, Mammalia, Primates, Cebidae. The record is from Ensembl.